CCUACGGGUGGCAGCAGUGAGGAAUAUUGGUCAAUGGGCGUAAGCCUGAACCAGCCAAGUCGCGUGAGGGAUGAAGGCUCUAUGGAUUGUAAACCGUUUUUAUAAGGGAAUAAAGUGCGGGACGUGUCCUAUUUUGUAUGUACCUUAUGAAUAAGGACCGGCUAACUCCGUGCCAGCAGCCGCGGUAAUACGGAGGUUCCGAGCGUUAUCCGGAUUUCUUGGGUUUAAAGGGUGCGUAGGCGGCCUUGUAAGCCUGCGGUGAAAGUCUGUGGCUCAACCAUAGAAUUGCCGUUGAAACUGGGGGGCUUGAGUAUGUGUGAGGCAGGCGGAAUGCGUGGUGUAGCGGUGAAAUGCUUAGAUAUCACGCAGAACCCCGAUUGCGAAGGCAGCCUGCGAAGCCAUGACUGACGCUGAUGCACGAAAGCGUGGGGAUCAAACAGGAUUAGAUACCCCAGUAGUC
This 460-nucleotide ribosomal RNA is filed under the name uncultured bacterium. RNAcentral's name for it is "partial 16S ribosomal RNA". It matches the Rfam family "Bacterial small subunit ribosomal RNA", at positions 338 to 795 of the family's 1533-position model. The record is from RNAcentral.